GGGCCCCUAUGAUGUCCAGCACUGGGUUUUGACCUCUCAUGAGGAUACUGUGCCCCCUGGGACCUUUGACACCCAAGGGUCUGAGGGGCCC
Molecule: small nucleolar RNA, 91 nt
Organism: Myotis lucifugus (little brown bat)
Lineage: Eukaryota; Metazoa; Chordata; Mammalia; Chiroptera; Vespertilionidae
Source: Ensembl